GGAUGUAGUAACUCAGUGGUAGAGCACAUGUUUACCGUGUAUAAAGUCCUAGGUUCAAUCCCUAGCACACACA
RNAcentral lists this transfer RNA (73 nucleotides) under Marmota monax (woodchuck). RNAcentral's name for it is "tRNA.Gly". The record is from RNAcentral. Lineage: Eukaryota; Metazoa; Chordata; Mammalia; Rodentia; Sciuridae.